AUUGAACGCUGGCGGCAGGCUUAACACAUGCAAGUCGAGCGGAGAUGAGGUGCUUGCACCUUAUCUUAGCGGCGGACGGGUGAGUAAUGCUUAGGAAUCUGCCUAUUAGUGGGGGACAACAUUCCGAAAGGAAUGCUAAUACCGCAUACGUCCUACGGGAGAAAGCAGGGGAUCUUCGGACCUUGCGCUAAUAGAUGAGCCUAAGUCGGAUUAGCUAGUUGGUGGGGUAAAGGCCUACCAAGGCGACGAUCUGUAGCGGGUCUGAGAGGAUGAUCCGCCACACUGGGACGGAGACACGGCCCAGACUCCUACGGGAGGCAGCAGGGGGGAAUAUUGGACAAUGGGGGAAACCCUGAUCCAGCCAUGCCGCGUGUGUGAGGAAGGCCUUAUAGUUGUAAAGCACUUUAAGCGAGGAGGAGGCUACUGAGACUAUACUCUUGGAUAGUGGACGUUACUCGCAGAAUAAGCACCGGCUAACUCUGUGCCUGCAGCCGCCGCGG
Molecule: ribosomal RNA, 500 nt
Filed under: uncultured bacterium
Lineage: Bacteria
Description: partial 16S ribosomal RNA
Rfam family: Bacterial small subunit ribosomal RNA
Source: RNAcentral